RNAcentral lists this ribosomal RNA (1173 nucleotides) under metagenome. RNAcentral describes it as "SSU rRNA". It matches the Rfam family "Eukaryotic small subunit ribosomal RNA", at positions 542 to 1774 of the family's 1831-position model. The record is from RNAcentral.
AAUCAAGUGGAGGACAAGUCUGGUGCCAGCACCCGCGGUAAUUCCAGCUCCACUAGCGUAUAUUAAAGUUGUUGCAGUUAAAAAGCUCGUAGUUGAACCUCUGUCUGGGGCUAGUUUUGGCUUUGGUCAGGCUAGUUCUAGGCAUCCGCCUACAAGACUUAGAGGGCAUUCAGUUGUUCACUAGGAGGAGUAGGCAUUUUACUUUGAAAAAAUUAGAGUGUUUAAGGCAGGCAAUCGCCCGCAUAUAUUAGCAUGGAAUAAUAGAAUAGGACACUUUUCCAUUUCGUUGGUUAUUGGAAUCGUGUAAUGAUUAAUAGGGACAGUUGUGGGCAUUUGUAUUUAAUUGUCAGAGGUGAAAUUCUUGGAUUUAUUAAAGACAAACUAACGCGAAAGCAUUUGCCAAGGAUGUUUUCAUUAAUCAAGAACGAAAGUUAGGGGAUCAAAGACGAUCAGAUACCGUCCUAGUCUUAACUAUAAACUAUUCCGACUCAAUGUUUGACUGGCUUAUAUAACCAGUUGAGCGUUGUAUGAGAAAUCAAAGUCUUUAGGUUCUGGGGGAGUAUGGUUGCAAAGCUGAAACUUAAAGGAAUUGACGGAAGAGCACAACCAGGAGUGGAUUCUGCGGCUUAAUUUGACUCAACACGGGGAAACUUACCAGGUUAAAACAAUAGUGGGAUUGACAGUUUGAGAGCGCUUUCUUGAUUGGUUGGGUGGUGGUGCAUGGCCGUUCUUAGUUGGUGGAGUGAUUUGUCUGCUUAAUUGCGUUAACGAACGAGACCUUAACCUGCUUACUAGACUGGCGAUCAUCAAUCGUUAGCUCUUCCUAGAGGGACUUUGGUUGUUUUAACUCCAAGGAAGUUUGAGGCAAUAACAGGUCUGUGAUGCCCUUAGAUAUCCUGGGCCGCACGCGUCAUACAAUGACUAGUUCAGAAAGUUUUCUCCUGACCCGAAAGGGGAUGGGUAAUCUUGAUAAUACUAGUCGUGUUAGGGAUCGAUCUUUGCAAUUAUAGAUCUUGAACGAGGAAUUCCUAGUAAGUGCGGUUCAUCAGACCGUACUGAUUACGUCCCUGCUCUUUGUACACACCGCCCGUCGCUUCUACCGAGUGGGUGGUCCGGUGAGAUAAUUGAACUUCGCAGGUAACUGAGAGGAAAGAUUAUCAAACCUAUCCACCU